Molecule: non-coding RNA, 30 nt
Filed under: Rattus norvegicus (Norway rat)
Lineage: Eukaryota; Metazoa; Chordata; Mammalia; Rodentia; Muridae
Source: RNAcentral
UGGAUGGGAUGAGAAAUGCAAGCAGUAGUC